This 83-nucleotide transfer RNA is filed under the name Candidatus Merdousia gallistercoris. RNAcentral describes it as "tRNA-Leu". It matches the Rfam family "tRNA". From Rfam's summary of the family: Transfer RNA (tRNA) molecules are approximately 80 nucleotides in length. Their secondary structure includes four short double-helical elements and three loops (D, anti-codon, and T loops). The record is from RNAcentral. Lineage: Bacteria; Pseudomonadati; Verrucomicrobiota; Opitutia; Opitutales; Intestinicryptomonadaceae.
GCUCGGGUGGCGGAAUGGUAGACGCAGCGGACUUAAAAUCCGCUGGCUUAACGGCCGUACGGGUUCGAGUCCCGUCCCGAGUA